UGAGGAAUAUUGGUCAAUGGGCGAGAGCCUGAACCAGCCAAGUAGCGUGCAGGAUGACGGCCCUAUGGGUUGUAAACUGCUUUUAUGUGGGGAUAAAGUGCGUGACGUGUCAUGCAUUGCAGGUACCACAUGAAUAAGGACCGGCUAAUUCCGUGCCAGCAGCCGCGGUAAUACGGAAGGUCCGGGCGUUAUCCGGAUUUAUUGGGUUUAAAGGGAGCGUAGGCUGUCUAUUAAGCGUGUUGUGAAAUUUACCGGCUCAACCGGUGGCUUGCAGCGCGAACUGGUCGACUUGAGUAUGCAGGAAGUAGGCGGAAUUCAUGGUGUAGCGGUGAAAUGCUUAGAUAUCAUGACGAACUCCGAUUGCGCAGGCAGCUUACUGUAGCAUAACCGACGCUGAUGCUCGAAAGUGCGGGUAUCAAACAGG
RNAcentral lists this ribosomal RNA (424 nucleotides) under Fusobacteriota bacterium. RNAcentral describes it as "Fusobacteria bacterium partial 16S ribosomal RNA". It matches the Rfam family "Bacterial small subunit ribosomal RNA", at positions 355 to 776 of the family's 1533-position model. Lineage: Bacteria; Fusobacteriati; Fusobacteriota. The record is from RNAcentral.